CGAUUACGGGAGGCAGCAGUGAGGAAUAUUGGUCAAUGGGCGGAAGCCUGAACCAGCCAAGUAGCGUGCAGGAUGACGGCCCUAUGGGUUGUAAACUGCUUUUACAGGGGAAUAAAAAGGAACACGUGUGUUCUGUUGCAUGUACCCUGUGAAUAAGGACCGGCUAAUUCCGUGCCAGCAGCCGCGGUAAUAUCG
RNAcentral lists this ribosomal RNA (195 nucleotides) under uncultured bacterium. Its description in RNAcentral is "partial 16S ribosomal RNA". It matches the Rfam family "Bacterial small subunit ribosomal RNA", at positions 335 to 527 of the family's 1533-position model. The record is from RNAcentral.